AUACCCGUGCAGUGAUAUUAAUUCUGCUAUUAUAUAUAAGACAUAUAUCACUGUAAUAAAGUGAUAGAUGCGAAUGCAAAAUCAAUAAAAUAAUGCCUGACAAACUCUAUUAAAUAUGAAUACAGAGAUUUAUAUUAAAGUGAUACUCCUUGAGAUAACUCUUAAGCGUCUUUGGCAAUUGUAACUUAUUUAUACCAUCAUAUGUCGUCCGUGUAGUAAUUACUGCUCGACAUAAGUGUUGUAAAGGAAAAGCAAAAUUUCGAUGAAAUGGUAUUGUAAGCAUAGGUUCAAAGAACAUAGAACACGAUGGAUGCUUAUAAUGCUCGAUUAAACCGCACACCUGGAAAGAUUAAUCAACCUACCUGCGUAUGCGCUGGCCUCUCAAUAUUUGGAAUUAACGUAAAGUCGAUUUGUGAUAACGCUGUCAAAGCAGCAGCUUGUAUACCGGCAUGCGCUUGGAACAAAGCUGCCAAACUGUCUACUGUUAUUCCAUUUGGAUGUACUUGAAUUGUCGAAGGAUAAUUAGGUUUAUAACCCGGAGGAGGUUCGACUCCCUCCUCCAUUUCUCGUGCACGUUGUAGUCGUGCUCUUUUGUCACAAUCCUGUAAUGCAGGCUAUUAAGUACCGUGUUUAAUACACAAGUUUAUUACAGAUGCAAUAAGACAUACUUCCAUUGGAAAUUCUUCUGGAUUGAAUCUUGAAAGGUCGAUCACAGGACUGGGAGGAAGCGGUCGUAGUACUGGACUUUGAGGAGCAGACCGACUAUUAAAUAUAACACCAGCUCCCAUAGGGUGUUCUUCGGUUCUUCUAUAACCAGUGCAAACACAAUCUAAACUAUUAUUUCCUUGACCAGGAAUAAUAUCUGUACUUUUAGAAUUUUUAUUCUUAGCACAGUUAAAUUUUAAUACCCAGCUACUUCGCUUCUUUUUUGAAGAUAAAAUAUGAGUACACGCUGGACUUUGAUCCUUAUUACGCUGUUUACCUAAUGAUAUUAAAUUUCAUAUCAAUUUAUAAAACUAAUUAAUAAAAUCCACAACAAACAUAUAAA
This is a long non-coding RNA of Bombus pascuorum, 1048 nucleotides long. RefSeq lists it as uncharacterized. NCBI's taxonomy places the organism in Eukaryota, Metazoa, Arthropoda, Insecta, Hymenoptera, Apidae. The record is from RefSeq and is a predicted model, not a curated record. The transcript is spliced from 3 exons.